Molecule: ribosomal RNA, 155 nt
Filed under: uncultured bacterium
Lineage: Bacteria
Description: partial 16S ribosomal RNA
Rfam family: Bacterial small subunit ribosomal RNA
Source: RNAcentral
GGGGAAUCUUGGACAAUGGGGGCAACCCUGAUCCAGCCAUGCCGCGUGAGUGAUGAAGGCCUUAGGGUCGUAAAGCUCUUUCGCCUGUGAUGAUAAUGACAGUAGCAGGUAAAGAAACCCCGGCUAACUCCGUGCCAGCAGCCGCGGUAAUAAAU